This 429-nucleotide ribosomal RNA is filed under the name Gemmatimonadota bacterium. RNAcentral's name for it is "Gemmatimonadetes bacterium partial 16S ribosomal RNA". It matches the Rfam family "Bacterial small subunit ribosomal RNA", at positions 355 to 776 of the family's 1533-position model. Lineage: Bacteria; Pseudomonadati; Gemmatimonadota. The record is from RNAcentral.
UAGGGAAUCUUCGGCAAUGGACGAAAGUCUGACCGAGCAACGCCGCGUGAGUGAAGAAGGUUUUCGGAUCGUAAAACUCUGUUGUUAGAGAAGAACAAGGACGUUAGUAACUGAACGUCCCCUGACGGUAUCUAACCAGAAAGCCACGGCUAACUACGUGCCAGCAGCCGCGGUAAUACGUAGGUGGCAAGCGUUGUCCGGAUUUAUUGGGCGUAAAGCGAGCGCAGGCGGUUUCUUAAGUCUGAUGUGAAAGCCCCCGGCUCAACCGGGGAGGGUCAUUGGAAACUGGGAGGCUGGAGUGCAGAAGAGGAGAGUGGAAUUCCAUGUGUAGCGGUGAAAUGCGUAGAUAUAUGGAGGAACACCAGUGGCGAAGGCGGCUCUCUGGUCUGUAACUGACGCUGAGGCUCGAAAGCGUGGGGAGCAAACAGG